AAWUKGUUWGUGGCAGACGGGUGAGUAAUGCGUAGGAAUCUACCUAGUAGUACGGAAUAGCCAUUAGAAAUGGUGGGUAAUACUGUAUAAUCCCCGAGGGGGGAAAGAUUUAUCGCUAUUAGAUGAGCCUACGUUAGAUUAGCUAGUUGGUGAGGUAAUGGCUUACCAAGGCUAUGAUCUAUAGCUGGUCUGAGAGGACGAUCAGCCACACUGGAACUGAGAUACGGUCCAGACUCCUACGGGAGGCAGCAGUGGGGAAUAUUGGACAAUGGGCGAAAGCCUGAUCCAGCUAUGCCGCGUGAGUGAAGAAGGCCUUCGGGUUKWAAAAYUYYWYY
Molecule: ribosomal RNA, 335 nt
Filed under: Ehrlichia canis
Lineage: Bacteria; Pseudomonadati; Pseudomonadota; Alphaproteobacteria; Rickettsiales; Anaplasmataceae
Description: partial 16S ribosomal RNA
Rfam family: Bacterial small subunit ribosomal RNA
Source: RNAcentral